AAGGGAGACCUAAUUCAGGUAGGAGACGAAAAAAAGUAGUCCCUACCAAGAAUCAAUCCCAAAAGGUCGGAGCGAGGCAAAAUUGGCUUUCAAACUAGGUUCUGGGUUCACAUAAGACCUGAAUCAGGAACAAGGGCUAUUAGCUCAGGUGGUUAGAGCGCACCCCCGAUAAGGGUGAGGCCCCUGGUUCGAGUCCAGGAUGGCCCACCUGCACAGGUGGCAAAAACAAAGAAAAGAAGCUCCGAAUCAGCACCUUAUCUUACUCAUAUAGUAAGAGAGAAUGCCGGCUCUGAGUUCAGAGUCCAGAGGAACCUUGAAAACUGCAUAGAGCUAGGUGAAGAAGCCAAAAAAGAAGACCGCAA
RNAcentral lists this transfer RNA (362 nucleotides) under Microcystis sp. EG38. RNAcentral describes it as "16S-23S ribosomal RNA intergenic spacer". The stretch from base 134 to 207 matches the Rfam family "tRNA". The record is from RNAcentral. Lineage: Bacteria; Bacillati; Cyanobacteriota; Cyanophyceae; Chroococcales; Microcystaceae.